This 407-nucleotide ribosomal RNA is filed under the name uncultured bacterium. RNAcentral's name for it is "partial 16S ribosomal RNA". It matches the Rfam family "Bacterial small subunit ribosomal RNA", at positions 28 to 526 of the family's 1533-position model. The record is from RNAcentral.
GAUGAACGCUGGCGGCGUGCCUAAUACAUGCAAGUAGAACGCAGUUGCGAACGGGUGAGUAAUGAGUAGGUAACUCCUUCAUAGCGGGGGAUAACUAUUGGAACAGAUAGCUAAUACCCAAUACUUUGACAUGGACCUGCGUUGUAUUAGCUAGUUGGUGAGGUAAAGGCUCACCAAGGCGACGAUACAUACCCGACCUGAGAGGGUGAUCGGCCAACGUGGGACUUAGACACGGCCCAGACUCCCACGGGAGGCAGCCGUAGGGAAUCUUCGGCAAUGGACGGAAGUCUGACCGAGCCACUCCGCGUGAGUGAAGAAGGGUUUCGGGUCGUCAAGCUAUGUUGUUAGAGAAGCGGUAACUACCCAGAAAGGGACGGCUAACUACGUGCCAGCAGCCGCGGUAAUAC